Molecule: ribosomal RNA, 460 nt
Filed under: uncultured bacterium
Lineage: Bacteria
Description: partial 16S ribosomal RNA
Rfam family: Bacterial small subunit ribosomal RNA
Source: RNAcentral
CCUACGGGAGGCUGCAGUGAGGAAUAUUGGUCAAUGGGCGGAAGCCUGAACCAGCCAAGUAGCGUGCAGGAUGACGGCCCUACGGGUUGUAAACUGCUUUUAUACGGGAAUAACGCGCCUUACGUGUAGGGCUUUGCAUGUACCGUAUGAAGAAGGACCGGCUAAUGCCGUGCCAGCAGCCGCGGUAAUCGGGAAGGUCCGGGCGUUAUCCGGAUUUAUUGGGGUUAAAGGGAGCGUAUGUCGCAUGGCAAGCGUGAUGUGAAAUGUACGGGCUCAACCCGGGCCUUGCAGCGCGAACUGGCGUGCUUGGUUCCGCGUAAAGCAGGCGGAAUUCGUCGUGUAGCGGUGAAAUGCUUAGAUAUGACGAAGAACCCCGAUUGCGAAGGCAGCUUGCUGCAGCGGAACUGACGCUGAUGCUCGAAAGCGCGGGUAUCGAACAGGAUUAGAUGCCCUAGUAGUC